GGGAGGAAAAGAGGCGGGAGAGAGACCCUAAAAAGCAAGCUAGACUCUCCAGCCGGCCGCUCUGGUGUGGGGAGGGAGCGUCAUCUCAAGGACACUGAAAAAGCUGUUUGCCGUUUUGCUGUUUGCCUCCUUGUCACGACCUCAGCGACGGCAGAUGGAGCCAGUGGAGGGAGAGAGACAGACGGCAAUGCUUGGGUAGCCAGGGCUCCCUGCCGGCCCCACUCCUCCUGCAGACACGAGCACGCACACACACACGCGCGCAAAACACACACGCUGCCCUUCGCCACACGUAGCCAAGUAAAAUACACAAAAAGCAACUGAGAUACCAUUCGCACAUGACCACAUGGAAACACACAAAUGAACAAACGCAUUCAGGCAUAGCCACAUGCCAGUCACACAGAUGGAUAGACAAGAGCCUGGGGUACAAAGCCACAUGGCACAAAGCCACCUGGAUGUAUAUGCCCCUACACACGCACACAGAAAAAAACAUGCAAACUUAAGUACACACCUAUCCAGACAAGUGUGAGUGCACACACACACACACUCACACACUCUACCUGACACGUUAGUGCAUCCCCAUUGGGCCCCAGUUUCUCUCAGCAAAUUCAGAUCACCCAGCCUGACUUCAAAACCUGCCCCCUUCCAUUCCCCUUCAUGCUGGUUCCUGAAUCCAGCUCGUUGCUCCAGGCUAGCAAAGCUGUCCACAGCCUCAUUUGUGGUUUGCUCACCUGCCUCAGCACCAUCAGCCAGAGGUACUCCUGCUCUUCUCCUA
RNAcentral lists this long non-coding RNA (772 nucleotides) under Homo sapiens (human). RNAcentral's name for it is "non-protein coding CISTR:5". Lineage: Eukaryota; Metazoa; Chordata; Mammalia; Primates; Hominidae. The record is from RNAcentral.